GGAGAGAUGGCUGAGUG
RNAcentral lists this transfer RNA (17 nucleotides) under Scaevola taccada (beach naupaka). Its description in RNAcentral is "partial tRNA-Ser". Lineage: Eukaryota; Viridiplantae; Streptophyta; Magnoliopsida; Asterales; Goodeniaceae. RNAcentral also lists the same sequence under 3 other names. The record is from RNAcentral.